This is a long non-coding RNA of Fundulus heteroclitus (mummichog), 1327 nucleotides long. RefSeq lists it as uncharacterized. Lineage: Eukaryota; Metazoa; Chordata; Actinopteri; Cyprinodontiformes; Fundulidae. The transcript has 3 exons. The record is from RefSeq and is a predicted model, not a curated record.
GUGGUAAUAUAUAAUUUACUUGCCCCACAUGCAUAAAAUUGUUGAAGUUUUACAAUUGUUGAAUUUAACAAUGUUUUUCUUCUCAAACAAGACUGCAUCAACAGCUGAGACCUCAGCAAAAACACAGAUUGAAGUUAUAAAGGGCUCUGGAGUGUUUUGCAAGGCAGAAGCAUGGAAAGCAGCCCGCCUUGCCACCUCUGCUACUGCCAUGGUGCGGAAUCUACUAAUGGGCACCUUUGUCCUGGAGACUUUGCUGAAAAGCAACCUAAAUGGUGGGAAGCCAACCAGAGGGGAUGGGGAGCAGCUGGUCGCCCUUGACCAAAUUAAAAAGGCAGCCAUUAUUGGUGAGUAAAUGCAUAAUGCGUUGACAAGGGAAAACAAAACUUUAAAGACUUUAUUUCACCACUUUAACCAUAGCAUACUUGUAUCAAUGUUUAUUAGGCAUCAACAGAGAAUGUAUAAGGUAGGGCACCCAUUAUUUUGACUGUAUCUGCUUAGCACCUAUAAUACCAAUUCAUCGUUUGCUCACUUCUUGAUCCUACCUUUUGUCUUCUUAAGCCACAUUUCUGGGGUAUUGCACUGUAAGGUGUGUUGUCCUCUAUUUUGUAGGACAUACAGUGUUGCAAAUAACUUCAUGGCAUGUUGUCGUCUGAAGGGUUAAUAAAAAAAUCAUAUUCACCCCUCCUUCACCCUUAAACCAUUCUGUGCUGUGUUUGUGCCUUAGUUUGUCUUUACCGGUAAUGUAUUUGCUUGAUUUUAAUGCGUAUCUUAUUUCUCUUUGAGUAAACCUAUCAUGGCAGCUCGCCAGUGGAGUGGGUCAAUGGGAGGCCAUUGUAAAGUAUUUUGGGUACGGUUGGGUGCAGAAAAAAUGCUACAAAAGUGCAGUUUAUUGACAACGAUAUAUGUUUACAUGUGUAAAGUUUCUUACAUCAGAUUAAAAAUUUGAGGGAUUAGAAACUCUGAAUCACUUUACAUGUUAACAAAUAAUCCAAAGUGCAUAUGCAUCAAGCCUUAUUCAGAAUAAUAGCAUGUGAUGUUUCCAAUCAGAAUUCAUUUUAGAUUUAGAGUCCAAUCAGAAUCUUUCAAUUGACAUGUUUACAUGACAUAUUUUUUAUCAUGGUGAGCCCUUUAUCCAAAAUAUGUGUCCAAUCGCAGCAAGCAGUAAGCACUUUGGGUUCCUGAUGAAGUGGUAUUUUAAUAUAUUUUUUUUUUUGGUCUUCUCUAGAUGCUACAUUGAAGAAGUGGCCAGCAGCCAGCCGAGGGCAGAUAGGCACAUCGAUUAAUUCAAAGCUCACAGAGCUGAGAAGAUCCUCAAGAUAAUUUCUUG